CUUUGAUAGCCUCCUGAUCACAAAGCCCCAUCUUGUUCGGGUUUUUUCUUUAAUUUUUAAAAAUUGAAAUGUAGUUGGUUUACAGUGUGGUGUUAGUUUCAGGGGUACAGCAAAGGGAUGCAGGUUAUAAUUCUUUUCCAGGUUCUUCUCCCACAUAAGUUAUGAUAGAAUACUGAGUAGAGUUCCCUGUGCUCUACAGUAGAGCCUUGGUUUUUGUUUUUUUCCUGGGAACCUCCAUAUGCCGUGGAAGCAGCCCUAGAAAAGGCAGAAAGACAAAAAAAAAAAAAAAAAAAAAGGAAAAGAAAAGAAAAUAGCAGGGGAGGACAUGGAGGGUGGAAGGGCUGUGGUUCUGGAAGCAGCAGUGAACACGGCUGGAAGGAUGACCCGUCCACUCAUCCUUCUCCCUGGUCCACUGUGAUUCUCCCUAAGGAUCCGCCAUGCGAGCUUGGUCACCGAACAGGCCGGGGUUGGCGAGCGCUCGGCAUCCCUAACCCAGCUCUCCUCAGACUUAAGAGCGGUGACUCGCUGCCUUGAAACUGAAGCACAGGAUGUUCCUGAUGUGGCCCGGGGGGUUACGGAUCUGGAGUUGUCUCUGCGGCAGCUCAGGUCCCCGCUGAGGCCCAGGGUCAAUCCCCAGCCUGGCACAGCAGGUUAGGGAUCCGGUGUUGCCACGGCUGUGGCGUAGGUGGCAUCUGCAGCUCAGAUUCAGUCCCUGGCCCAGGAACAUCUGUAGCCAUGGUGCAGUUGAACAUUAAAAUAUAGUAAACUAGAGCACAGAGGGGUCAGCAGCCUCCUCUGGGUACCAGCCCAGCCCCAGCCCCCACGGGAACCACAGCCACACCCGAACCAGUGACGGUGGCUUCUGUCUCCUGGGCCAGUUUGCUCAACGUCACUUCUGGUCCUCAGGACAGUUUCUGUUUUGACAUUUGAAAAAUUGCCCUGCCAGUCUGUGGGCCCUGAGUUUUGUGAUGGUUCUGAAUGAAUUCUGAUAAAUUAGUGUAUCUUUCCGGAUGUGUGUAGGGCUGUAGGAAGAUAAAUUGCACCUGUCUCGUGUGAGAGUUACAAAUUCAGCAGAAUGUCAGGCUGGGAGGCGAGGAGGGAAGCAUCCCCGACAGUGGCUCAUGGACAGCCAGCAUGUGCUGCAGGGCGGGCUCUCCGACAGACGGACAGAACCAGCCUAAAGGGAUACAUGACCCUCGCGCUCGGGGCCCUGGGAAACCAUGCAAACCCACGGAGGCCUCGCCGUCAUCCCGCCCAAAAAGCAGCCUCUCACUUAUCUGGGAGUCACUUAGAUGGCCAUCUCAGUUAUCCGGGAUGCUGCCAGUACCGAGGAGGGAAGGCAAAGCCUGGCUGACAAGUUGAGAGAUGUCACAAAAUUUGUGACAAAAGGCCAUGAGUUUUUAGAUAGAAUUCCAACAGGCCUGGUGAUUUGGUGUUCGAGGCACAGCCAGGAAGAAGCACCUUUAGGAAGAAUGCAGACGGCUCCUAAGAGCAAGAGAAUUAAAAAUGGGGAGUUCCCGUCAUGGCUCAGUGGUUAACAAAUCUGCCCAUCAUUCAUGAGGAUGCAGGUUCGAUCCCUGGCAUCACUCAGUGGGUCGGGGAUCUGGCGUUGCUGUGAGCUGUGGUGUAGGUCACAGACGUGGUCCGGAUCUGGCUGUGGUGUAGGCUGGCAGCUACAGUUCCGAUUCGACCCCUAGCCUGGGAACCUAAAAAGACAAAAAACAGAAAAACUGACUGACUUGAACUUGAGUCCUUCACAUAAUUCGUAUAAGAUCACACACGUUGUUGCAUGUCUCAGCCAGGGUUUCUUUUCAUCGCUGAGUAGUAUUCCAUUUUAUAGAUGCCCCCCCAGCUUGUUUAUCCAUUCCCCAGGUAAGGGGCCUUUUGGGUUGUUUCAGGUUCUGGCAAUCAUGAAUGAAUCCAGUAUAAACAUUUUUACAUAGGUUUCUGCGUGAUUGCAGGUUUUUAUUUUUCUGGGGUAAUUAUCUAUCUAGGAGUGGGAUUGCUGGGCCUUAGGGUAAAGGUAUAUUACCUUUAUGAGAAACUCCCAAACCAUUUUUCCAAAGUGGUGGUGCCAUUUUGCUUUCCUGCCGGGAUGUAUGACUGUUCCAGGGGCUCCACAUCUCACCAGCGCCUGAGAGCGUCAGCUGGGUUGCCCUCCUUUUAAACCACGCUGAAGUGUCUGGACUGAAUGCUGGAGGCAGCUGGAGCCCAGCUGAAGGGGUGUGAGCAGAAGACAGGCAAGCUGGCCCUCAUCAGGGAGACGGGGGGACGCUGUCACUCAGGGAGGCAGUGAUGAGGGUCAGGGUGCAGGCAGCUGCAGGAGGGAGAAGUUCCAAGGAUGUUUCAGAAGGACCAUAGGAGCUCCCACUGUGGCUCAGCAGGUUAGGAACCCAGCGUAGUCCCCAUGUCAACAUGGGUUUGAUCCCUGGCCUCACUCAGUGGGUUAAGAUCCAGGGUUGCCGUUACCUGUGCUGUAGGUUAUAGAUGCAGCUCGGAUCCCACGUUGCUUUAGCUCUGAUGUAGACCUGCAGCUGCAGCUCCGAUUUGACCCCUAGCCUGGGAACUUCCAUAUGCCACGGAUAUGGCGCUAAAAUGACCAAAAAAAAGAGAGGAAGAGGUUCCUGUCGUGGUGCAGUGGUUAAUGAAUCCAACUAGGAACCAUGAAGUCGCGGGAUCCCUGGCCUUGCUCAGUGGGUUAAGGAUCCGGCAUUGCUGUGAGUUGUGGUGUAGGUCAUAGCAGCUGUAGCUCUGAUGAGACCCCUAGCCUGGGAAUCUCCAUAUGCCAUGGGUACGGCCCUAGAAAAGGCAAAAAGACAAAAAAAAAAAAAGAGGAAGAGACGCCAGACAUGCACAGAGAUGAGGACCCAGGGAGGAGGUGGCCGUCUACACCCCAAGGAGAGAGCCCUCCAGAGAAAGAACCCCUGCUGACACCUUGACCCUGGACUUCCAGCCUCCAGACUGUGAGGAAAUAGGUUUUUGUUGUUGAAGCCCCCCCAUCCGUGGUAGUCACAGGGUCCUGAGCAAAGACACCCCUCGUACUUUCUAUCGGUUUGGAUCCCCGGGUUCGAGAAUCACGGGUCUUCCUGCCUCCCCUCACUGGGUCGUGGGCUCCCAGAGGGCGGUGUGACCUCGUGCACUCCCUGUCACCGCGCAGUGCUGGACCUUCAUGUUCGUAGAAUGAAUGUGACGAGGCAGAAAAGUCCUUAUCUCAUUAGGUAUCCCGGGGAACUGUGGCUGCUGCUGCCAUCGGAGGCUCAAGUGAGAGAAACAAAUUUUGUGAAAACCAUAUUCAGGAACGCAGCUUCGCUCUGUCAGUGUGUACACCGUAGGCGACACGGAGCCCCCGGAGGGAAAUUCGGCUUCGUGUUAGUUACCGACAGCUCCCGCCUCUAUUCCAGAUCUAAGUCCGAUUACGCUGUGCCUUGAUCAUUAUGCUCUAUUAAACAUUUUUCUGCUUCCUUGCCCACCUCUGUCCCCAGCCACCCCUGCCCACCACACGUACACACAGCACGCUGUGCCCCGGCCUCCACACCAAUCCCCACUUCACCCUGGUAAUGCUAAUUCACCUCCUGAGACUUGGCCAGCAUCACAUCUCCUCCAGAUUCUCCCAUGACUGCUUCAGACUAGACCAAAUGCUCCUUCUCAGUGCUGGCUUGACGCGCUGGAAAGGCGGCUGUCACACCAUUUGCCACGGGACCUCGCAGUCACCCUUCCCAGGGUCGUCUCACCAAACACAUCCUUUCAAACCCGGGGCCCGUCUCUUCCUUUUUCAAAAACCUUUACCCGGUGCCUGGCUCAAUGCCUGGCUCCUAAGUCACGUAAUGCAGGACAGCUCUUAUCCUUUAAAAUAAAACAGUAGUGCAUCAUGGGAAGGAAGGCUAGGCUGCUCUACGUUAGCAUGCAUUAGUUAUUCGGUAAAUAUUUUUCCUUUUCCAUUUCAUUUUUUCUUCUGAUUUCUUCCUAGCUUCACUUGCUUUCCAACUGCUCAUCUUUAAGCCUGGUGAGAAGAAUUAGGAGAAAGAGAAGAGAAAUAAAGUUAAAGAGAGUGAGGAGAACACACACACACACACACACAGUGAGGAUAAGGAUUUUACGUGCUGAGAUAAACGCCUUCCAUCAUGAAUUCUCCUGGUGCCCUGAGGCGAAGUGUGUGGAGUCCUGAGUCUCUAAAAAUAGAAAUCCAAAGCCUAUCUCUUUCAACAAGGGGCUGAAAGUAUUAAUUAAUGCUUGCAGAGCGCUUCGAGGAUGCAAACGUGGACACCAAUCCGUGUCAGCACUGGACGUCCUCUGUGUAAUGAGGCUUAGAUGUGCAGUGAUGCAGCACAUCAGGUAACAUGGCUGGAAAGUAGAAAAGCACUGCAGUCCGGGUUCAGCACCCGCACUAACCACGUGAUCCAAAACUCCCCAAUCCUCACUCCAGGCUGGACUGCCAGUCACCCAAAUCUGAAUCCUUAGCAUGCAUCCCAGUGUGGUGGUUGGCACAGAGCAGGGCUUGGUGCUGUAGAUUUUGAUGUAUUUCUAGAAGAGUCCCCUUUUUGUGUUAAGAGACAUGAAAAAGACCCCAUGUUGAUGUUUUUUCCAGUGAAGGAAAAAGUUGACAGCAUUAAGAAUAUUCAUUAUGUUUCAUGGUUUGAGGUUUGAAAUGCUGGGUUUUGCCGAUGUGCGGCCAUCGUAGAGGUGGCCACCCGGCUCUUGUAAUGAUACUGACCUCUUCUGCCACUGGUCCUCCGUUUGGAUGAGUGUCUUUUAUAAGGAAGAGCUACUUUCCACUCUCUGAAACAGGGAGACCCUUACAGGGGGUAACUGCUGCUUCAGGGUGAUUGCCUCGUUAAUGUCUGUCUUCUCCCUGGGAUGGUGGCUUCAUGAGGCCUGGAGCUCUGCCUGCCUUCUCAUAUGAUACCUGGCACACAGCAGGUGCUCAGCAACCCCACCCCCACCCCCACUCCACACACACGCAAAGGAUGGACGGAGGAGGUAGGUGCGCAAGAAGGAUGGAUGGAUGUCAGUGACGUUAAUACCACCUAAGCGAGGGAGAGGCUGAUGGAGAGGACAACGUCCAGAAGGCUACUGAACAGGCCUCGAGGUUAAACAGAGGGUCCCAGCUUGCCAAGCUUGAUAUAUCCAGGUUCAGAUUACUCAAUUAUGAUUGCAUAUUUUGUUGUUGUUGUUGUUGUUGUUGUUGUUUGCUUUUUAAGCCCACACCCGUGGCAUAUGGAAGUUCCCAGGCUAGGGGUUGAAUCGGAGAUGCAGCUGCUGGCCUACAGCAACUGGAUACUCAACCCACUGAGUGAGGCCAGGGAUUGAACUCAUAUCCUCAUGGAUAUAAGUCGGAUUCGUUACUGCUGAGCCAUAUGUAUUUUUUUUUUUCUUUUUGCCGUUUCUAGGGCCACUCCUGCGGCACAUGGAGGUUCCCAGGGUAGGGGUCUAAUCGGAGCUGUAGCCACCGGCCUACGCCAGAGCCACAGCAACACGGGAUCCGAGCCGUGUCUGCGACCUACACCAUUGCUCACGGCAACGCCGGAUCCGUAACCCACUGAGCAAGGCCAGGGACCAAACCCGCAACCUCAUGGUUCCUAGUCGGAUUCGUUAAGCACUGCGCCAUGAAGGGAACUCCUGUAUAUAUGUUUCUGCUAACACUUGACGACCUGAGGCAGAAAGAGUGUGGUUGUCUGUGAAUGGCUUUGCGUUGAAGGACAAGUAUGUGCCUUAAACUAAAUCAGCUGGAACCCUGGGCUCUCUGGAACUCAGUCUCACUCGUUUCUGGGUGCCACCCGCACACUGGGGGGUGUCUUGCACUUAUUUUUAUUCUCAGUAUGGUACAUAGGGUGUGCUGACUUUACCCCUGGCUCUCGUUUUCGGAGGGCUUCCUCUUUGUCAGGUUGGGCUCAGCGUUGUAUAUGCCUCAGCUCUGAUCCUUGCUGCAUGCAGCGCCUAGAAAGCAUCCUGACACCUGUUUUACAGGAUGAGGAAACUGAAGCCCAAAUCCUACAGAGCUGCUAAGAGGCAGGAUGUGGAUUUAAACCCACUUAAUCUUAAGUGAUCCUUCCCCGACAUGAUGCUGUGUCGGGGGAGAGUCUGCUUUGGGGAUUUAAACAGGUGACUAGAACGGGCCAUUAAACUUUCAUGAGCAUCCGCUUCCUCGUCUGUACAGUGGAGGUGUGAAAAUGGUUAAUCUUUCAGGUCUAUUUUCCUCUAGAAUUCUGCCCCUGGAAGAACAGAGGCAGGGAAGACCUGCCCGCUGUGCUGGAGCUGUCCGUGGUCCUGACAAGGCUGGCAGCAAUAAAGCCAUAAUCAGCUUAUCAAAGGAAGAAGCACAAGAAGCCAGAAGCACGUCCCUUAAUAAAGAUCUUGCUC
RNAcentral lists this long non-coding RNA (6357 nucleotides) under Sus scrofa (pig). RNAcentral describes it as "lncRNA (ENSSSCG00025049515.1)". Lineage: Eukaryota; Metazoa; Chordata; Mammalia; Artiodactyla; Suidae. The record is from RNAcentral.